CUAUUUUGAAUAGCUUAACCAAGCUGUAUAUAUGUAAUAUUAGCAUAUUCAAGCUAAAUUGUAAGUGGAUUGAAUCAAAAGAUUGUGCUGGACCUGUGUGAGCUUGGCUAAGAUGUAUAAUUAUUUAAACUGUUAUUUAUUUCUUUUCAUGCAUCGAAACAUCUUUUCUGUAUAGGGUAAGUAUUAGAUUGAAAAGUUGAACAUCCACUCUUCUCUGUAAAUGAAGUAAAUUCUGUUAAACGUUGAGUCUUAAUCAUUUCUGACGAGCACAGCAAGUGCACAUAAUCCUAGGAAGUUGUACCCACAGAUUUGAAUACUUGUAGUUGGACCGCUGUAGCCACGUGGAGAUGGGUGGCUAAUGAUGAGAACUGUGGAAUCUGUAGAAUGGCUUUUGAUGGCUGCUGUCCUGAUUGCAAACUACCAGGGGAUGAUUGUCCACUAGUGUGGGGGGAAUGUUCUCAUUGUUUUCACAUACACUGUAUCGUCAAAUGGUUGAACUCCCAGCAAGUUAAUCAGCUUUGUCCAAUGUG
Long non-coding RNA from Saccostrea echinata, 530 nucleotides. RefSeq lists it as uncharacterized. Lineage: Eukaryota; Metazoa; Mollusca; Bivalvia; Ostreida; Ostreidae. The record is from RefSeq and is a predicted model, not a curated record. The transcript has 2 exons.